UACGGAGGGUGCGAGCGUUGUCCGGAAUCAUUGGGCGUAAAGGGCGCGUAGGUGGCGGGACAAGCGUGCGGUGAAAGCUCGGGGCUCAACCCCGAGUCGGCCGUGCGAACUGUUUUGCUUGAGCACUGUAGAGGCAGGCGGAAUUCCGGGUGUAGCGGUGGAAUGCGUAGAGAUCCGGAAGAACACCGGUGGCGAAGGCGGCCUGCUGGGCAGUAGCUGACACUGAGGCGCGACAGCGUGGGGAGCAAACAGGAUUAGAUACCGU
This 265-nucleotide ribosomal RNA is filed under the name uncultured bacterium. RNAcentral's name for it is "partial 16S ribosomal RNA". It matches the Rfam family "Bacterial small subunit ribosomal RNA", at positions 524 to 788 of the family's 1533-position model. The record is from RNAcentral.